This 1151-nucleotide long non-coding RNA is filed under the name Anas platyrhynchos platyrhynchos (common mallard). RNAcentral's name for it is "lncRNA (ENSAPLG00000018976.1)". Lineage: Eukaryota; Metazoa; Chordata; Aves; Anseriformes; Anatidae. The record is from RNAcentral.
AACCCCCAGCUUGGAAAAAAAAAAAAAAAAAAAAAAUCUGUUCAGUAUAAAUGUGGAAAAAUGUGUUUACAAAAAAAAAGGAAAAAUUCCUUUAAGGAGUUACGUGCAUCAUACCCCUUUGGUAGACUGUAUGCAUAGCAGUCCAAUGAGCAAGAGAAUCAUCAGUCCAAAAAAAAAAAAAUCAAGAAGUAGUGGGCUUAAACUGAAGCAGGGAAUAGUUAGGUAAGACAGAGGAGGAAAAAAAAAAAAAAAAAAAGGCAAAAAAAAAGCACAGCACUGCUGGAAUAGCUUGCUGAGAACCUUGUGGAGUUGCCACCAGACUUUCCAUAAAGAUAAAUCUGUGACUGAUAACAAGAUGCAGUAGACGGCCCCACCAGUCUCUACCAACACUAGUCAAUGGCCUUGUGACUCAGCUGGCUAUGAUCCAAUGGCUGUUUUGAUGUUGCAUGGCUGUAUGAACUUAACUCCGUUGUGCUAGCAAAAUUACUCCUGAGCUGUGAAAAGUACACAAGUUAAAGCCAUGCUAGAUAAGAAAAGUGAAAAUAUAGUUCAAAUGAUGUUAUUGUGAUGAUAAUAGUUAGGAGCUCAAGAGUUCAAGACAAAAAAAAAUGAUGACAUGAGAAAAAAUCCUGAGAUAAAAAGCCAAGAUAGGUAAACAGCAACUCAGCAACACCAAGAUCCACUCUGCUCCAAAAAAGUCAAAAAAGUGUGCUUAGCUUACAGAUGUGAUACUCUAAUACUUGUCUGUAUAAGCCAGGAAAUAAUUGGUGUGUAUUUUUUUUACAGCCUGCUUGCAGACUGUCAUUGCCCACCGUAGAGGACAUCUGGACAGAAGCGACCCUGGCAGGGAAGGUUAUACUGCAUAGAGUUCUUGAGGAUGAGUCAGAAAGCAUUGGUGGAGUCAUCAAAUGGCAGACUGGCAGGGGAAGCUGCUGUUAUGUGUGCCCAUACCCACAACAGAAAGCAGUUGAAUUGCCAUCCUAAGGAGGCUGGAAACAGCAUAGCCAGAAUGAAAAUAGCAGCAGCUGUUCUGAAUGUGAUCGGGUCACCAGCAGGAUCCCCAUAAAAAAGACCACAAAAGCAACCAGAGAGGAUUGUUGCAGUACAUCUGUUGCUUUUUAUGGAAAUAAAAACAUUACGCUGAGCUCCCA